UGUGGCGUUGGCAAGGCCUGAGAAGGGAACAUGGGCGGCUUCCGACGGGGGUCUGCUCUGUGCUGCAAGCCGGGGACUCCCCCUUGCCGUCAUCUGCGGGUGGGAAAGAAGUGGCUAGGCCACGGCUCUGAGGCAGGCUCCGCCGGAGGAACUGUCCCCUUUAGGGACUGCGACCCCUUUCCUGUUAGGGAACCGCUCUGGGGCGAGGAGGCCGCCUUUAAGACCCUCUGAGCUGCAGUUUCCUCUUGGAUUCACUUGAUUUCUGUCUGGGAUGUCUCAUUAAAAGUAUCAUCAGAUCAAGUGAGCACUUGUUACGAAUUCAUUGUGAGAGGAGACAGGAGUUUGCAAUCUAACUUUCUGUUCUUGUAACCUUUGAGACAGAGAAAUGCAAGCAAUUGCACAGGAUGUUCAACAGCAACAACCAAAAUUUGACAAGUUUAUAUCUAGUAUUUUCUAUCUGCAAGUCUGUAUAUUAUAGCUGCAUAUAAUUGCCAUAUUAUUGUUAUGAACAUGGCGGAUGCCAGCCCCAGCUGGUGGACAUGAAGCUUUUGUUACAAACUAUUCUUAGUGUAUAAUAUAAUAGUUAACCCCUAUUGUGUAUGUGUAAGUGUUAACACCUGUUGUCAAAUAGUACUAGAAAUAAGAAAACCAGUUCAUGUUUGCAUAUUGUGGACCUCGGCUUUAGACAGCUGGGGAGACAUCAGAUGAUCUUACCUGUUUCACCUGUAGCCAAAAGGAGAUUUGGAGGUUCUCCCCUCUUAUCUAUGAAAGCCCCUGCAGAGAGGAAGCUCAGAAAGGAGAUAAGAGAUCACAACAAGAGGCUGCCAAAUGCCUUUGUGGGUCCAGGGUAAACCAAACCCCUGACCCCAAGGAUGGAAGGAGACACUCAAUCUGAGCUAGACAGAAGGACCAUGAUGGAAUGAGCCCUUCUGGAUAUCAAGAAAAUUGUGGAAGGGGCAAUGAAACUCCUUGGACUGCCAUGUUUAAGAGUUCAAUAAACUUGUUUGAGCAUCAUUAUGAUGCAAGAGGCAUCACUUAUGGAUCUUGGAUCACUCUCUAAUCCCUUCCCCCAGGGGAGAAGUGCCAUACAUGUAUCUUUUAAGUUCUCCAUGCUUUGUUGUAAUU
Long non-coding RNA from Hemicordylus capensis (graceful crag lizard), 1125 nucleotides. RefSeq lists it as uncharacterized. The record is from RefSeq and is a predicted model, not a curated record. The transcript has 3 exons. Lineage: Eukaryota; Metazoa; Chordata; Lepidosauria; Squamata; Cordylidae.